This 292-nucleotide ribosomal RNA is filed under the name uncultured Parcubacteria group bacterium. RNAcentral describes it as "partial 16S ribosomal RNA". It matches the Rfam family "Bacterial small subunit ribosomal RNA", at positions 505 to 796 of the family's 1533-position model. The record is from RNAcentral.
GUGUCAGCCGCCGCGGUAAUACAGAAACCUCAAGCGUUAUCCGGAUUUAUUGGGCGUAAAGCGCAGGUAGGUGGAUAUGUUAGUCAGGUGUUAAAUUUCCGGGCCCAACCCAGAAACUGCAUUUGAAACGGCAUAUCUAGAGGAAACGAGGGACCACUGGAACUUAUGGUGUAGCAGUGAAAUGCGUUGAUAUCAUAAGGAACACCAAAGGCGAAGGCAUGUGGUUGGCGUUUUUCUGACACUGAGCUGCGAAAGCGUGGGUAGCGAAUGGGAUUAGAUACCCGGGUAGUCC